AGCGAACGCUGGCGGCAGGCUUAACACAUGCAAGUCGAGCGGGCGUAGCAAUACGUCAGCGGCAGACGGGUGAGUAACGCGUGGGAACGUACCUUUUGGUUCGGAACAACCCAGGGAAACUUGGGCUAAUACCGGAUAAAGCCCUUACGGGGAAAGAUUUAUCGCCGAAAGAUCGGCCCGCGUCUGAUUAGCUAGUUGGUGAGGUAACGGCUCACCAAGGCGACGAUCAGUAGCUGGUCUGAGAGGAUGAUCAGCCACAUUGGGACUGAGACACGGCCCAAACUCCUACGGGAGGCAGCAGUGGGGAAUAUUGGACAAUGGGCGCAAGCCUGAUCCAGCCAUGCCGCGUGAGUGAUGAAGGCCCUAGGGUUGUAAAGCUCUUUUGUGCGGGAAGAUAAUGACGGUACCGCAAGAAUAAGCCCCGGCUAACUUCGUGCCAGCCGCCGCCGAAC
RNAcentral lists this ribosomal RNA (452 nucleotides) under uncultured bacterium. RNAcentral describes it as "bacterial SSU rRNA". It matches the Rfam family "Bacterial small subunit ribosomal RNA", at positions 29 to 523 of the family's 1533-position model. The record is from RNAcentral.